This 444-nucleotide ribosomal RNA is filed under the name Shewanella sp. RNAcentral describes it as "bacterial SSU rRNA". It matches the Rfam family "Bacterial small subunit ribosomal RNA", at positions 913 to 1356 of the family's 1533-position model. Lineage: Bacteria; Pseudomonadati; Pseudomonadota; Gammaproteobacteria; Alteromonadales; Shewanellaceae. The record is from RNAcentral.
ACGGGGGCCCGCACAAGCGGUGGAGCAUGUGGUUUAAUUCGAUGCAACGCGAAGAACCUUACCUACUCUUGACAUCCAGAGAAUUCGCUAGAGAUAGCUUAGUGCCUUCGGGAACUCUGAGACAGGUGCUGCAUGGCUGUCGUCAGCUCGUGUUGUGAAAUGUUGGGUUAAGUCCCGCAACGAGCGCAACCCUUAUCCUUAUUUGCCAGCACGUAAUGGUGGGAACUUUAGGGAGACUGCCGGUGAUAAACCGGAGGAAGGUGGGGACGACGUCAAGUCAUCAUGGCCCUUACGAGUAGGGCUACACACGUGCUACAAUGGUCGGUACAGAGGGUUGCGAAGCCGCGAGGUGGAGCUAAUCUCACAAAGCCGGUCGUAGUCCGGAUCGGAGUCUGCAACUCGACUCCGUGAAGUCGGAAUCGCUAGUAAUCGUAGAUCAGAAUG